CUCUGGUUGAUCCUGCCAGAUCCGACUGCUAUCCGGGUAGGACUAAGUCAUGCAAGUCGAAUGGAACUUCGGUUCCAUGGCAUACUGCUCUGUAACAAGUGAUCAACUUACCCUGCGAUGGGGCAUAACCUCGGGAAACUGAGGCUAAUACCCCAUAGUUAGCUAUCCCUGGAAUGGGUUGCUAUCGAAAGAAUUUCGUCGCAGGAUAGGAUCGCUCUCGAUUACGGUAGUUGGUGAGGUAAUGGCUCACCAAGCCUAUGAUCGAUAGGGGCCGUGAGAGCGGGAGCCCCGAGAUGGAUACUGAGACAACGAUCCAGGCCUUACGAGGUGCAGCAGUCGCGAAACCUUUUCAAUGCGCGCAAGCGCGAAAAGGUUACCCGGAGUGCCGAGAGAAAAACUUUCGGCUGUUAUAGGUGUGUAAAUAACCCUAUGAGAAAGGAGAGGGCAAGGCUGGUGCCAGCCGCCGCGGUAAAACCAGCUCUUCAAGUGGUCGGGAUUUUUAUUGGGCUUAAAGUGUCCGUAGCCUGUUUGGUAAGUUCCUGGUAAAAUCUCCGUGCUCAACGCGGAGUCUGCUAGGAAUACUGCCUUACUAGAGGAUGGGAGAGGUCAGAGGUACUCCAGGGGUAGCGGUGAAAUGCGAUAAUCCUUGGGGGACCACCAGUGGCGAAGGCGUCUGACUGGAACAUGCCUGACGGUGAGGGACGAAAGCCAGGGGAGCGAACGGGAUUAGAUACCCCGGUAGUCCUGGCUGUAAACGAUGCGUGCUAGGUGUUGGUAGAGCUCUGAGCUGUAUCAGUGCCGUAGGGAAACUGUUAAGCGCGCCGCCUGGGAAGUACGCUCGCAAGAGUGAAACUUAAAGGAAUUGGCUGGGGAGCACCACAAGGGGUGAAGCCUGCGGUUCAAUUGGACCCAACGCCGGGAAACUUACCGGGGGCGACAGCAGAAUGAAGGUCAGGCUGACGACCUUACCAGACAAGCUGAGCGGAGGUGCAUGGCCGUCGCCAGUUCGUGCCGUGAGGUAUCCUGUUAAGUCAGGCAACGAACGAGACCCUCAUACUUAAUUGCCAGCAAUGGUCUUCGGAUCAGUUGGGAACGUUAAGUAGACUGCCAUCAUACAGAUGGAGGAAGGAGAGGGCCACGGCAGGUCAGUAUGCCCCUAAUCCCCCGGGCUACACGCGGGCUGCAAUGGUAUGGACAAUGGGUUGCGACUCUGAAAAGAGAAGCCAAUCUCGAAACCAUAUCUCAGUUGGGAUUGUCGGCUGUAACUCGCCGACAUGAACGUGGAAUCCCUAGUAAUCGUGUGUCAUCAUCGCACGGUGAAUACGUCUCUGCUCCUUGCACACACCGCCCGUCGCUCCAUCCGAGUGCAAUAUGGUUGAAAAUUGGUCCUAAGGGUCGAUUUAAAAUGGUGUUGCGCGAGGAGGGAGAAGUCGUAACAAGGUAGCCGUAGGGGAACCUGCGGCUGGAUCACCUCCU
RNAcentral lists this ribosomal RNA (1476 nucleotides) under Promethearchaeota archaeon. Its description in RNAcentral is "bacterial SSU rRNA". It matches the Rfam family "Archaeal small subunit ribosomal RNA". The record is from RNAcentral. Lineage: Archaea; Promethearchaeati; Promethearchaeota.